RNAcentral lists this ribosomal RNA (513 nucleotides) under Rhabditis environmental sample. RNAcentral describes it as "eukaryotic LSU rRNA". It matches the Rfam family "Eukaryotic large subunit ribosomal RNA", at positions 81 to 591 of the family's 3401-position model. The record is from RNAcentral. Lineage: Eukaryota; Metazoa; Nematoda; Chromadorea; Rhabditida; Rhabditidae.
UAGUAACGGCGAGUGAAAAGGGAUGAGCCCAGCGCUGAAUCUCUCGGUCUAAGGCCGCUGAGAACUGUAGCGUAUAGGUUUGACUGUCUGUUUGCUAUGUAUUCUCCAAGUUCCUUUGAUAGGGGCUAGUUCAGUCCCGAGAGGGUGCUAGACCUGUGCGAGAAUUGUAGUGAGCAGUUGGUUGUUCCUUGGAGUCGUGUUGCUUGAAAGUGCAGCAUAAAGUAGGUGAUAGACUUCAUCUAAGGCUAAAUAUAACCAUGAAUUCGAUAGCUAACAAGUACCGCGAGGGAAAGUUGCAAAGAACUUUGAAGAGAGAGUUCAAGAGAACGUGAAAUCGCUGGAGUAUGCGGAGAGAGUUGACGUAACCCGGUAGCUAAGUUGUUCUUCGGAGCGAUGGUGCUGCUUAUGGUUGCAUUGGUGGCGUUGGUUAGCAACGACAGCUGCGUAGUUUAGCCCACUUCGGUGGUGUCUAGCUUGUGGUCUUGUUGUUGUCGGCUAGCGUGUAAGCCCUGU